Long non-coding RNA from Hyla sarda, 1807 nucleotides. RefSeq lists it as uncharacterized. The record is from RefSeq and is a predicted model, not a curated record. Lineage: Eukaryota; Metazoa; Chordata; Amphibia; Anura; Hylidae. The transcript is spliced from 3 exons.
CCCUUGUGGGAGAAGAAACAAUGUUAAAAUACAAAUAAAAAAAUAUAUAACAUAAUGCAGAGUAUUCUAUAUGCCACUUGUUUGUUGUGUUAGUUAUUAGUAGUACUGCAAAUUCUAUCCAUUAAUGGACACCGAUAAACUUAUUAAAUGUAACUGUCCUUUAUGUUGCAGCAAUGGUCGCUACAAUGAUGUUACAAUGAUAUUAUGUUGUCUCUGGUUAGGUUAUUCAAGUGCACUACAAACUGUAGCAGAUGAUGUAAUAAACGAUGUUUUGUUACCAGUUCCUAUGGUGCUCCUUUAUAGUCAGCAAUCCCUCGCUGAGCUGCAGAUAUACUUGCAGAGAUGUGUGCUGGCAUGCACAGACGGCGGCUGGUCCUGACGGCGCAGGGCCCGGGUGAUACCGCCCGAUGGUACCGAGGAGAUGAAUGCAAAGCCUUGUGUUUUCAGUGUCUGACGUCAGGAGUCUUGCAGACCAUAGGAGCUGAGACUGGUUGAGUCCGGACCUAGAAGCAGGAGAAAGAAUUCUUGCAGACUGCUACCGAUACACAGCACCGCGCCUGCACUCCGCGCAAUCGAAAUGAGAUACGUGUGUGUGAUGAAUCUCAUCCCCGGGAAAAGAAUAUGAUUAUAAAGUCAGCUGACCCAGGACAGACCAAUUGCUGAGACACAUACACCUAUAAGCUGGUCUCAUGACCAAGUUACAGUUAUGAAGCAUAUGGAUGCAGCUGAGCUGGAAUGAAACAGAUGGUAGUUCAGCAAUAGUUGGUAAAAAAAAAAAAAAAAAACUUACUAUGCUUCUUCAAAUGUAUUUUUUUAUUUAUUUAUUUUUUUUUUGAAGAUAGAACACAUAAAGAAACUUUAGAACACCUCUAGGCAAAAAAGAUGUACAAUCGAAAUUAGAUUCCAAUCGGUGAUGUCAUUACCCGGGAAGCCCUUGUGGCUCAUGUAUCAUCAGGACUUUUAUUAUAAAGGACUGUAUCGAUUUGCAAAGAGUCAUAACUGAUGUAAACAAUGGCGCCGGCCUGCGGAGCACUUUAUAAACCCGACAUCCUAUUUUUAGGGGAUGCUGUGCAACUGCUGGAUAACAUGAAGAUUAAUAUAUAGAUUCAUCCUCCGAAUAGUCACCGUGGGAUACAUCUUGCCUUUGCACCGAAGCGUCUUCUGUUUACAGCUCGGCAGCUCAGGGACCGUGAUGGACCGAUAUUGACAGCUCAGACUAUUCUGGCUUGAUUGUUGUUUGCACAAGCUACAAAUUAAAGGGGUACUCCGGCCCUAAUACAUCUAAUCCCCUAUAUGCUGCACACUCGGAGCCUCCAGUGAUGCGGAGAGCUCACAAAGGUGGGUGCUGUAUGACAGAUUGCGGGGGUCCCCAGCGGCAGGACCCCCGCGAUCAGACAUCGUAUCCCCUAUCCUUUGGAUAGGGGAUAAGAUGUAUUAGGGCCGGAGUACCCCUUUAAAUUCUCCCUGCGGCUGUUUAGCCUAACAUAGCAUUUAGUGUGCUAUUUUUACACUAUACCAUAAUUCCUAGUAUCGAUUCGGCAUUGUUUUGUUUUCUUACUGCCUUUCAGGUAGGCGAAAGAAAAUGUAAGACGCUUUCAGAUUGUGAUUAAACAUUACGCAGAUCAUUAACCCAGCGUGGGGAAUUUACUGACUCAGUGUUUGUGCCUGUGUUGUGAAUGUGUUUGUCGCUGACUGCGGGUUUUAAGGAGCCGUCGAUGCAUGUCUUUAGUCUAUCAGCCUUAUGUUUACAUAGGUUUGGUGAUCUCAUGUGAGAGCGUUAUUAAGCGCAUAAGGCGUCUGUGUCACA